AGAGCCAUGUGCCGACUUCAGGCGCUAGCGGCGGGUGACACAGGUCUGGCCAAGUGUUAGAGCAAGAUCAUACGUCCGGGCCCCAUUUUAAUUUCUAAUACAUUAAUCUUUUCCUCACAGAUCCUCCAUGAAUAUUCCAAGGCUCCUUGUUUGUCAGGAAGGCUGUCUCGCUUUCAUCUAUUCAGGUGGUUUCAUUCACUAUGAAAGCCAGCUAAAUGGACCCGAUCAGUCAAUGACAACCGGGAUACAAUAGAGCCCGGUUACACGUCCCUUUUCUCCUUUCAGCCUUCUGAUAGACAACCCUGACACCUGCUCCCUGGGGACACCCUUCGCCAAGUCAGUGCACUGUUCCUUGAGAGACCUCCCUUACUUUAUCAGCCCAAAAAGGAUUGUCACAGGAGUGAAGACGCAGAAUAGGGUUCAAAUCCCAUUUUCUUCAACCUGCCUUGGGGAUUUUGGGGAGGGCGAUGUUGAGCUGAGGACACCAGUGAAUUUACCAGGAAGAGGAGGUUGGGGCUGCCCCAUCCCAUCAAAUCCAAACAGAUUAUAGAUGGUGCACACAGUUUUUCAGGAAAACUUAUAUUUUGAUCUACUUCAAUAAGUUGUUAUUAAAUAUUGAUUAAUUAUUAACCAAAGAUAUAUAGUCAAAUUUUUACAACUCAUAACAAAUCAAACAAAUCUAUUUUCCAAAGGUGUGACGAUUCAGUUUUACAAUUCUUU
This 720-nucleotide long non-coding RNA is filed under the name Oryzias sinensis (Chinese medaka). Its description in RNAcentral is "lncRNA (ENSOSIG00000012049.1)". The record is from RNAcentral. Lineage: Eukaryota; Metazoa; Chordata; Actinopteri; Beloniformes; Adrianichthyidae.